UCUUGUAAUAUCAUCAACAGGUUUUCCAAUUGCAUUCAAUUGGUCACAAAUGUUUUUGAACUCUCGAAGAUAUUCGCUUAGUGAUCUGUUUCUUUUCUUGCAGACUUGAAGUUUUCCCCUUAACUCAAACUCCUUUGCAAUAGAUUUCUGUGUAAAUCUAUUUAUGAGAGCCUGCCAAACUUCAAGUGAGAUGAUCAGGAUUCAUUAUCUCUCCUGCCUCAGUUUGUAUCAUUCGACUUGGAGGAAAAGUAUACUUCUGCACUCUAGUGGCCAUUCUUCUAUGUUUCAAAGACUUUGAAGAUUUGAAGAUAAUCCAGUAAACUUUGAAGUUUUAAUCUCAUGGAUCACCAGCUCCUGUUGCCACGGAUUGCCAGCUCAUGGAUCAACUCCUGUUGUCACGGAUCGCCAGCUCAUUAACUCUAUUGGAUCGCCAACUCACGACUUUCCUCUGUUUCAGCUUCCUCUGUUUCAGUUGCUUCUUCAGGUUUGGCUUUUCUACUGAUGCUGACUUCUAUGCACUUCUGAUCUUGCAAAACUUGUUUAAUUCUU
Long non-coding RNA from Eucalyptus grandis, 549 nucleotides. RefSeq lists it as uncharacterized. The record is from RefSeq and is a predicted model, not a curated record. NCBI's taxonomy places the organism in Eukaryota, Viridiplantae, Streptophyta, Magnoliopsida, Myrtales, Myrtaceae. The transcript is spliced from 4 exons.